CCUACGGGUGGCAGCAGUGAGGAAUAUUGGUCAAUGGGCGUAACCCUGAACCAGCCAAGUCGCGUGAGGGAUGAAGGUUCUAGGGAUCGUAAACCUCGUUUAUAAGGGAAUAAAGAGCGGGACGUGUCCCGCAUUGUAUGGACCUUAUGAAUAAGGAUCGGCUAACACCGUGCCAGCAGCCGAGGUAAUACGGAGGUUCCGAGCGUUAUCCGGAUUUAGUGGGUUUAAAGGAGGCGUAGGCGGCCUUUGAAGUCAGCGGUGAAAGUCUGUGGCUCAACCAUAGAAUUGCCGUUGAAACUGGGAGGCUUGAGUGUGUUUGAGGCAGGCGGAAUGCGUGGUGUAGCGGUGAAAUGCUUAGAUAUCACGCAGAACCCCGAUUGCGAAGGCAGCCUGCCAAGCCAUGACUGACGCUGAUGCACGAAAGCGUGGGGAUCAAACAGGAUUAGAUACCCGAGUAGUC
This 460-nucleotide ribosomal RNA is filed under the name uncultured bacterium. Its description in RNAcentral is "partial 16S ribosomal RNA". It matches the Rfam family "Bacterial small subunit ribosomal RNA", at positions 338 to 795 of the family's 1533-position model. The record is from RNAcentral.